This is a long non-coding RNA of Apus apus (common swift), 3386 nucleotides long. RefSeq lists it as uncharacterized. The record is from RefSeq and is a predicted model, not a curated record. The transcript is spliced from 4 exons. NCBI's taxonomy places the organism in Eukaryota, Metazoa, Chordata, Aves, Apodiformes, Apodidae.
GAAGCCGUGGGACCACUCGCCGCGGUACAUCCACCUGCCCUUCGUCUCCACGCCCAGCCCGUGGCGCUUGCCCUGCGCCCAGUAGCCCAGUUACAGACCAGGACUGGAAGAAAAUAUGAAAGAAAAUCCAUGAGAAGAUGCGGAAGCUUGAUCUUGUCUUUUUAGUUCCAUAGUUUCAGAGUGUGGAAAACCAGACAAGAAUGUAAUUUGUGUGGCACAGACUUGAUGCAGGCUUUCAGGUAUCUUUAGAUAAGACCAUAUACUUUGCUGAAAUAAGGGACCACGGCCUUCAUCACAAUGUGAGCUUUUGUAGGAAGCCAUUACCAAGACCAGAGAAGUCUGAAAAGGUGCAUCUGCAAGCUUCCCCUCCCUGCCGAGCAGUGGCACAGACCUUCCGUUUGCCCUCCUCCUCCCAGACUGUGUCCUUUCCUUUCCUGUUACUUCACAACCAGGUCUCGUUCUGUGAUUUAGCCUUUCUGAUUUUGCCCCUGCAUGCUUGCACUCUUUCCUAAUAUUCUUCUUUUGGUAAUUUCUACUUGUGUAUACUUCCUUCUGGUGUUUCAGGAUCAUUGAAGAGCUCAGUGUAGUCAAGUUUGUCUCAUAAUACUCAUUUUCCCUUCAUGUUGGGGUAGUUUGAAUCUAUGUCCUUCACAUUAUUUCUUUAAGAAAACAAAUUGGUCUUUGGGGAGUUUAUAAUAAAAUAAAAUCUAGUAGAGAAAAAUCUAAGUUUGUGGUUUUUACAAGACAGUCUUGGCCAACACUGGCUUGCGAUAUUCUCAUGCCCCCAGACCUCUGUGCUGCCAGCACAACUGUUUCUAUAGUGCACUGUGAUUUGGAUCAGGGAACCAAUCCAGCUUAAAAAUAAUCCAGCAAAAAAGGUUUAUUUUUAUUUUGCUCUUAAAGCUGAACCAUUUGCUCUCUUUGCAGAGCAUCUAUACUAACAAUUGACCUAAUGCAAUUGAAAACAUCCAGAAAAACUGACAGCUUUACUCUUCACCUCCUUUAUUUUUAAUUCCAUUCUCUUCUUCAUAGGAAUAGCAAAUAAUACUUUCUCAUAAGUUUUCACCCAAGUUGCCUGCAGUCUUGCAUUUUCAGUUUACUCCCGCUAGGUAAAACGAUAUUCCAGAUUUGACAUAGUCACUCAUCUGCUGGGUAAAGAAAGUUUUCUCUGUAACAUGGUACUGCACUUGCCCUGUAGCACCUUCUCUGCAGGUCCCCCAUCUUCAUCCUGUUCUGUUCUUUGAAGAACUAGCAGCAGCACCCAGUGGUCUUGAGUCCUGUGCCGUCAUGUCCUAUGGAUUUUCCAGGUGCCUGAGGAGGUCCAUAGAAUGAUUGAAGCUUUUCCUGUUGUUCUUUUGCUCCUGGAACAUUUGUAGUAGCUCUCAUCUCAGGUAAGAAUUGGGAUUGUUUCAUGUUUUCUUAAUGAUGUGCAAAGCAUCUCUGUCUCCUGCCUGGAUGUGUAUUUUGUGGCAUUGCUUUUUUUAAAAAUAUAGGGAGGUCAUACCUUUAAGAUCUUAAUUCUUCUGAUAAUUUUCAUGUAAAUUAGCUAAUGAGUGAAAUAAUUCUCAUACAUGUUGCUUUAAUACCACAGGAAAAAAAAAGUUCUUCAGCUUUACUCAGUGCUCACCAUGCUGCCAGUUUUUUUUAAUACCUCUAUGGAGAGACAUAUCUUCCCAGAGAUCCAGGCCUUUUGUCAUGCUUUAGGCCACUUAUUCAUUGAAAAUCCUCCUUCAUGAGUUGGAAAUUUAAUUGCCAGUGAUUACAGACCUUCAGAGAGAUUUUGGUAAAGUGAAUUUCUCCACCAGACAGACAGUCCCAGCUCUGCAGUUUCUAUCUCCUGCAGCAGGGCACAGCUCUGAGUCACACUGGGAACGCCUCUGCAAUGGUGAGUGCACCCUGAGAAGGCACCCAUCCCAGCUUCCACAGGGGCUGCGUUUCUCCACCUGCUCCCUGGACCUUGCAGGUCCUUAUGGUCAGCCUUGAUUUUAUCUGACAGUUUUUGUCAGACAUAGGGAUGGGGCCUUAUGUCUGUCUGCAUUCAUACCUAGUUCUAUCUGAACAUGGGGUCUGCUUUGUGAAUUUCUUUAGGGUUUUUUUGGUUUUUUUUCUUCUUAUUUUCUUUAAAAGUGGUAAGUGAAUGUUAAAUAACAAUUACAUAUGAUUAUUAUAAAUAAUUUUAAAAUACAUGUUGAUGGCCAUGGUUAUUAGCAUGCACUCUAGUUAUGCUGUGCUACAGCAGAACAAAACAGCUGUUGCAUUUCACCAAUGAACCAGUAUUGGUGCUUAUACCUUGGAUAGUUGAUUAACUUUAUGUAAAAAUCUAUCAUUUUCUGCUCAGUGAAUAAAUUUGUGAAAUUAAUCUACAAUCAUUGUAAUUCUCAAUAUGAAUUAUAGGUAUAAAACCUUGGUGGGUUUUGUUUCUUUGUUUGCUUUAUGUAUCAUGCUGGAAAAAACAAGGCAAGUGCUACAGAGAUACAAAGCUAAAGAGAUGUAAAAGCUGAGCUUUUUGCUCUUUGACAAUGAAUAUAAUGUGGAUGUACAGUGAAGUCUCUUUUGAGAUUUUUUUCCUGUUAACAAAGUCCUCAAUAAGGGAAUUAAGCUUUAGAGGACACUACCAUGGGGCUAAGCAGGCUGCAAAGAGCUUUAAUAGAAAGCCACUCCCUCAAUCUGCUUAAACUUUGGUGAGGAUAAUACGGCUUACUCUAACUGAUUUUUGAUAAAGCAGUGAAAGACAGACAGAUGCUUGUUAUGUCUGAGUUGAUAAAUACACCCUGUUGAUAAGUUUCUUGUGUUUAUCCAGGAAUUUGUCCUGGGAAAGAAAUUGUUCUCACCACGGCUAUCCUGCAAGUUAAACACUACAGGUUGUACAGGUACAGUACAGGUUGCGUUUCGUCAGUCACAGGAAGUGCCUGGCUCAUUCUGCUGGCUACUGAGUGAGCUUCAGUUUGUAUACCUAAAAGCUGCUUGCCUGAAUUUGGAAGAGGUGAUCCUAUCUGCAUGAUUGCUUCCAGAAAUGCAGUCUUUUUCUCCCCUGAUUUCACAGUUUUCAGAAGACACAGCUGUUGUACACAUUUGGAGAUGCUGUGCAGAGCUGGAGCUACUGUGUUGCCACCAACUUGAUUUAAUAUUUGAUUUAUGGGGACAAAUAGGCUUGUGCCUCCAUACUAAUUUGAAUUAUUUUAUAUAGUAAUACUUUUCUUUAUCUUCUUAUUGUUUAAUAUUUUUAAAAUGUAACCUAAGUGUUUAACGCACAUAGAAAAUAUUUAACACUGUUAUUGAAAUAAGUGUAUCUGUGUAUGUUCAUGUGUAUGAUGAUGUUGUUAAAAUAUAAAUCUUCAAUAUGCAAGUAAGCUUGCUACCAAUAAAUUUUGUUUUAUUUCAUCCUG